Molecule: ribosomal RNA, 431 nt
Filed under: uncultured bacterium
Lineage: Bacteria
Description: bacterial SSU rRNA
Rfam family: Bacterial small subunit ribosomal RNA
Source: RNAcentral
UCGAGGAUCAUUCGCAAUGCGCGAAAGCGUGACGAUGCGACGCUGCGUGGAGGAUGAAGGCCUUCGGGUCGUAAACUCCUGUCAUUCGGGAACAAUGCCUUAAGGGUGAACAAUCCUUGAGGAAAGAUAGUACCGGAAGAGGAAGUCACGGCUAACUCUGUGCCAGCAGCCGCGGUAAUACAGAGGUGGCAAGCGUUGUUCGGAUUUACUGGGCGUAAAGGGUGCGUAGGUGGUCUUGUGUGUCGGGCGUGAAAUUCUGCCGCUCAAUGGCAGAACUGCGUUCGAAACUGCAAGGCUGGAGUGCAUGAGAGGAAAGCGGAAUUCUUGGUGUAGCGGUGGAAUGCGUUGAUAUCAAGAGGAACACCGGUGGCGAAGGCGGCUUUCUGGAAUGCAACUGACACUGAGGCACGAAAGUUGGGGGAGCAAACAGG